AGCAUUAGGGGAGCCCACGGCUACAAAAACAAGUGAGUGAGAAGAGGUGGGAGGAAGAGAAACUACGCCACCUCCCCUGCAGCCGAGUGCACGCAGCAGCCUGGCGUGACAAGUGGGCGACGCCGGGGGGCAGGGAGCCGGGGUCCUUGGCCCUGGCCGGGGACCCCACCGCCCACCGCGCGGAGGACAACUUUUAGCCGGCAGCCCAGACCAGCGCGGCACCUGUCUCCGGAGUCUCCACCGCUCCUCCCGAUUCAUCCCAGGGAAAUUCUCAAGAAUACGCUCUACAAAUCUACGUGCGCAUCAUUUUCACCUCGCGUCGCGCCCGGGAGGAAGGAACGAGGCAAGGAGCUAAAGCAGCGUGCGUUCAGCCCUGGGGCAUUUUAUUAAUGCUUUUACGAGUUAGAAGAGUUGGGAUAAUUUGCCAUCUGGAGUUUCUCUGCCUUGCUGAUCUGAGCUCAGACCUGCCAAUUUACCAGAGAUAAUUGAUAACACCCUGUAACAGCUGAGAGGAAAAUGGAAGAAACGGAGAUACUUUUAGUGAAGCAGAAUAAACCACUGAACAGUCUGUUUCAUCUUCAUAAAAACGCUGCUUUCAGUGCACUGGAUUUAUUUUACAACCCACUAAUGGAUUACCCUACAGUUUGAAAAACAUUGCGUUAGACCAGUUUGACUGUUGUCAAGAACCAAAAAAGGAAAAAUGAGGAAGCUGUGAGUACCAGUGGAAGGAACGAGCCAGGAAGAGGGACUGGAACCAUCUCAGAAGCCAUGCCCCUCAGGCUGGAACUUGCCCUGUCUCCUCGCAGAUGAGGUAGGAGGCUCAGCACGGGCUGGUGGGAGCAGCCCACAGCAGCAGUGAGGGUCAGUGGGCCUGUGAGUUAAGAAGAAGGUGGCACAGAGCGAGGGUCUCUGGAUCCUGAC
Molecule: long non-coding RNA, 921 nt
Filed under: Homo sapiens (human)
Lineage: Eukaryota; Metazoa; Chordata; Mammalia; Primates; Hominidae
Description: non-protein coding LINC-PINT:46
Source: RNAcentral